CCUCUUUGGGCGGAAGUGACUCAUCUUUGGGUGGAAGCGACCACCACCCCAGGUCCCCCUGCUGGUGUAAGCCUGGUACUGACAAACACACACGUAGUUUCAUGGGCAAAAGUCAAAAUUCCCAUUGGUUUGAGGUGUUAAACACACAUGGUGAGUUUUGCCCUGUGGAACCUGUUUUCUGUCAGGCAGACAUCAUCUUAUCUGUAAACUCCCAUGUUGAGACAUUUAUGUGGAAAUUAAAAACCUGAUUAAACUAUUUGACAACAAUGAGAAGACAAGAGAUUCUCUGCUGAUUGUGACAACAGGCCCCACACUGCAGCGUUCUGUCUGAAGACUUGCCCACUAGAGAGAGAAACAAAUAGACUUAGGAAUCAGCCCCAAAAUGUCACCAAAAGUGACCUAACCUUUGACUAUCCUCUUGCCUGAUUCACUAAGACUCCCAUAUGCCCUGGCCCAGGAGAAACACACUCUGCAAAUGACCCUUGGUCAUGAAGUGGAUCAGGAGUCUGAGCAUAGUUUCAUCUGAGCUGCAUUCUCAUCUGGAGGCUUAAAUAGCAAGAGCUCCUUUCUCAGGAAAAACAGGUCAUCCAAAUAAAAGUGGACAGAAAAUCUAUCUAUAUUUUUUGCAAAGAAGUUAUAAGAUGGCAAACAGAUUUAGUCAAGGACCUUAAGAAGAUGAGGGAAUUUUUUCUUCUCUACUGGUCCACGAUUUGGAAAAUGAAGAAAAAAGAGGAAAGGAAAACAGAAUUUAAGUUUUACCCAUUUAUUUAGAACCUGAAUGAGCCACUACACUGAAUAAAUGAGCUGAGAUCCACAGCUUAUCUCAAAUAAUGCAAAGAAAGUAAACGUGAAGAGGAAAUUGGAGGUCAGAAAAAGAAAUAUCACUCUAACUGCAGUGUGAAAAAUGGAGAUAGUGAGUUUAGAAGACAGUGGAAGUAUUAAAAAGACCUGAGAGGAAAUCCUUGUAUGGCAUUGAUGUGCUGCCAUGUGGAAAAAGGAUUCCAUAUAUUUUCAGUGGAGCCACAGUGAAUUGGAGUGAAAGAAAAAGAAAACUUUUGUCCAGUUUGAAAAAUAACUGUCCUCUGAGAUUGUUCCAAAAUGCAGUGAACCAAACUAAAAGGACUUGGCUGCUCCCUGGACAUUUGGAAACAUUGAAGACAGAAACAAAAGCAUGCUGAUGCAUGCAGGCUCUUGAAACUUCCACACAGAAUUGACACCCUUUAUUCUGCUGCUUUCUUUUGGCCGAAGAUACAAGGUACUCAUUG
Molecule: long non-coding RNA, 1265 nt
Organism: Talpa occidentalis (Iberian mole)
Lineage: Eukaryota; Metazoa; Chordata; Mammalia; Eulipotyphla; Talpidae
Exons: 8
Source: RefSeq, a predicted model, not a curated record